GCAUAUCAAUAAGCGGAGGAAAAGAAACCAACAGGGAUUGCCUCAGUAACGGCGAGUGAAGCGGCAACAGCUCAAAUUUGAAAUCUGGCCCCAGGCCCGAGUUGUAAUUUGCAGAGGAUGCUUUUGGCAAGGUGCCUUCCGAGUUCCCUGGAACGGGACGCCAUAGAGGGUGAGAGCCCCGUCUGGUUGGAUACCGAGCCUCUGUAAAGCUCCUUCGACGAGUCGAGUAGUUUGGGAAUGCUGCUCAAAAUGGGAGGUAUAUGUCUUCUAAAGCUAAAUACCGGCCAGAGACCGAUAGCGCACAAGUAGAGUGAUCGAAAGAUGAAAAGCACUUUGAAAAGAGAGUUAAAUAGCACGUGAAAUUGUUGAAAGGGAAGCGUUCAUGACCAGACUUGGACCGGUUGAUCAUCCAGUGUUCUCACUGGUGCACUCUGCCGGUCCAGGCCAGCAUCAGUUCGCCCCGGGGGAUAAAGGCUUUGGGAACGUAGCUCCUCGGAGUGUUAUAGCCCAUUGUGCAAUACCCUGGAGCGGACUGAGGUUCGCGCUCUGCAAGGAUGCUGGCGUAAUGGUCAUCAACGACCCGUCUUGAAACACGGACCAAGGAGUCGUCUUCGUAUGCGAGUGUUCGGGUGUAAAACCCCUACGCGUAAUGAAAGUGAACGCAGGUGAGAGCUUCGGCGCAUCAUCGACCGAUCCUGAUGUUCUCGGAUGGAUUUGAGUAAGAGCAUACGGGGCCGGACCCGAAAGAAGGUGAACUAUGCUUGUAUAGGGUGAAGCCAGAGGAAACUCUGGUGGAGGCUCGCAGCGGUUCUGACGUGCAAAUCGAUCGUCAAAUAUGAGCAUGGGGGCGAAAGACUAAUCGAACCUUCUAGUAGCUGGUUUCCGCC
RNAcentral lists this ribosomal RNA (887 nucleotides) under Parasarcopodium pandanicola. RNAcentral describes it as "eukaryotic LSU rRNA". It matches the Rfam family "Eukaryotic large subunit ribosomal RNA", at positions 38 to 962 of the family's 3401-position model. The record is from RNAcentral. Lineage: Eukaryota; Fungi; Ascomycota; Sordariomycetes; Hypocreales; Stachybotryaceae.